Molecule: small nuclear RNA, 105 nt
Organism: Echinops telfairi (small Madagascar hedgehog)
Lineage: Eukaryota; Metazoa; Chordata; Mammalia; Afrosoricida; Tenrecidae
Source: Ensembl
GUGCUUGUUUUGGGAACACAUACUAAAACUGGAACGAUACAGAGAAGAUUAGCAUGGCCCUUGUGCAAGGAUGACAUGCAAACUCAUGAAGCAUUCCAUAUUUAA